CAAUCACCCCGUGGAUGCAUAUGUCAAAAAUUAUGUGAGCAAUUCAGAUUAAAAUACAGUGUUACUAAGAAAUAUAUACAUACAACCAAAGUAUUCAUAAUAGUGUACAUAUGUAUCGCAAUUUCAUAAAGCUUCGAAUAUUAUUGAUAGUGGUGUUGAUCUUAAUGAGUCCUGUGCAAUCAGAGUCCUUGUUCGAAUGGAAAAAUACAACAAAUCCUGUGAUCAGUACUCUACGUCAAAGGAUUGCCCUGGAGUGGAAAUAUGAAUCUCAACAACCUGUCACCAGCAUGUUUUUUACACGUUUUAGGAACAGCUCGGAUAU
This is a long non-coding RNA of Patella vulgata (common limpet), 322 nucleotides long. RefSeq lists it as uncharacterized. Lineage: Eukaryota; Metazoa; Mollusca; Gastropoda; Patellidae. The transcript is spliced from 3 exons. The record is from RefSeq and is a predicted model, not a curated record.